GCCUCUUCCCUUUCCUGGAAUUGUUGGUUUUGCAGCAGCUGUUGAUGAACUAGCACCAAGUGUAUCACUCUUUGACAACCUCUUUUGUUGUGACCUCUCUCAUGACAAAGCCUACAUGUCAUAACUAGACCAAUUUUAGGCAAUUUGCCAGACAUCUUAGUUUCAUUUGCCUCUUUCGUUCUAACCUUUUUUGGUCUACCAGGCAUGAUUUUGACAAUUGGAGGUGCAACAGAAGGGUUGGCAGAUUCAGGCCACAUUGGCAUAUUACUCACUGGUUGGAUGAAAUUAGAAUAAGUUAACUUUUUCUAACACUCAAAGUAGUAGCAGGAAUAUUGAUGAAUGCAGAGAUACAUUAUCAACUGUCAUUAUCAGCAGAUACAUAAGUUAACAAGCAUAUCUCUUUGUUGUAGCAGCUAUCAAUGAAUUCAAUUGGUUCAACCUUGUCAUAAUACAUUGCACGUAUAGCAUGUGGACAUGGUAUCCCCUUUAGCAUCCAAGAAUAAGAUCCUCCUUUGGAGCCCUCUCCACUUCUUUGACCAAUUAGCUAAGAUGUGCC
RNAcentral lists this long non-coding RNA (556 nucleotides) under Nicotiana benthamiana. Its description in RNAcentral is "long non-coding RNA (NBEN_LNC015439)". Lineage: Eukaryota; Viridiplantae; Streptophyta; Magnoliopsida; Solanales; Solanaceae. The record is from RNAcentral.